RNAcentral lists this ribosomal RNA (692 nucleotides) under uncultured Bacteroidota bacterium. RNAcentral's name for it is "bacterial SSU rRNA". It matches the Rfam family "Bacterial small subunit ribosomal RNA", at positions 228 to 916 of the family's 1533-position model. The record is from RNAcentral. Lineage: Bacteria; Pseudomonadati; Bacteroidota.
GGCAUGCGCGACAUUAGCUAGUUGGUGAGGUAACGGCUCACCAAGGCUGCGAUGUCUAGGGGUUCUGAGAGGAUUCACCCCCCACACUGGUACUGAGACACGGACCAGACUCCUACGGGAGGCAGCAGUAAGGAAUAUUGGUCAAUGGACGCAAGUCUGAACCAGCCAUGCCGCGUGCAGGAAGACAGCCCUACGGGUUGUAAACUGCUUUUGUACGGGAAAAAACCUCCGGUCGUGCACCGGAGCUGAUGGUACCGUAAGAAUAAGCAUCGGCUAACUCCGUGCCAGCAGCCGCGGUAAUACGGAGGAUGCAAGCGUUAUCCGGAUUCAUUGGGUUUAAAGGGUGCGCAGGCUGAAUGAUAAGUCAGUGGUGAAAUCCUACGGCUCAACCGUAGAACUGCCAUUGAUACUGUCGUUCUUGAGUACACUUGAAGUGGGCGGAAUGUGUCAUGUAGCGGUGAAAUGCUUAGAUAUGACAAGGAACACCGAUCGCGAAGGCAGCUCACUAAAGUGUUACUGACGCUCAGGCACGAAAGCGUGGGGAUCAAACAGGAUUAGAUACCCUGGUAGUCCACGCCGUAAACGAUGAGUGCUAGAUGUCGGGGAGCAUGCUCUUCGGUGUCGCAGCUAACGCAUUAAGCACUCCGCCUGGGGAGUACGGCCGCAAGGUUAAAACUCAAAGGAAUUGACGG